GGUCCUAUGGUCAAGUGGUUAAGACACCGCCCUUUCACGGCGGUAACCCGGGUUCGAGUCCCGGUAGGAUCACCA
RNAcentral lists this transfer RNA (75 nucleotides) under Bacillota bacterium. RNAcentral's name for it is "tRNA-Glu". It matches the Rfam family "tRNA". From Rfam's summary of the family: Transfer RNA (tRNA) molecules are approximately 80 nucleotides in length. The record is from RNAcentral. Lineage: Bacteria; Bacillati; Bacillota. RNAcentral also lists the same sequence under 1 other name.